UGUCAACUGUCAUUCUCUAUCUCCUUUUCAAAGCUAGUACAUUACAGUAAUUACGCAAUUUUGUUGUAUAAAACUGUGAUAUACUAUUGAAAUGGAGGCGUGCCUUUAUCAUCCCUGAAAUCAAGUAUCAAGUCAAGUGUAACAAACACUUAGUUCAGUACAAAAACUGCAGUGAGCAGCAGGUCAUCAGCGAGACAAGAAAGUCGUAAGAUAGUGGUUAUAGUAUCACUCUGGUUAAUUUUGAAUUAUUAAAUAUAAACGUUUUUUGCAUUUUUAUAAAAUGGCCCAAACUGAAAACGAUGAAGAAAAUAUAUCCAUGCGACAGAAAUUUCUCUUAAUUACUGUAAUUGGUGGCUUAAUAUUUGUAAAAUAUUGUACAAAUAUUCAUAAUUUUAUAGAAUCAAAAAUACUUCCAUACAGAAAUGUUAUCUUAGUAGCUGCAAUGGUGACUUUAUUAGUCGUCUUAGCCACUGUAUACUUUCUGGUCCAAUUAUAUGUUAAUUCAGGAACUGAAAGAACGAGACAAACUAAGUCAGUUACAAGAGUAUAUGGAAUUUCCCUUGCUGGAUUAUGUUUCUUGGUAACAAGUUUAACAUUAAUGUGUUUAUAUAAGACAUGGGACGCAAUGAGAUUUCCAUCAUUAGAAAUUUGUUUGAUAGUUUUAAUUGUGGCUUCUUUAACAGCCUCUGGAGUUGCUCUGUUUAUAGCAGUACAGUCUGUUAAUAGUACCAACAGGAGAGUGAAAAAAAGUUCCAAAGAAAAUGGAAAUAGAAAUUGUUUGCUUCUUCUUCUAGUACCCAGUAUUUUAUUUUUAAUUUGUAAAGAUAAUUACUCCUUUAUAGAAGAAAACAUUAUUCCAUUCUGGAUUUCAAUCUCAGUAUGCUUUUUACUAGUUUUUAUAAUAUGUUUCAUAUUUGUAUCUUUGUUUAUGCAUUACAUCAUACGAACAGUCAGAGAAGGUAAACCAAGCAGAUAGGUACGAGCAAAUAUCUUCAACAGGACUAGGUAUUUUUCAGUGUUUCAGAUUUAUCGAGUUUUUUAAGGUUUUUUUAUUUCACAAAAUUGUUUCACUGUUGGUGUGGAUCUUGUGCUUUGCUUUAGGAGUAAUAUAUUUAUCGAUCCUAGUUUGUAUUGCGGAACUUGUGAAAGAUAGAACUUCCUGGGUAAUAAUGCCGACUACUGUUAUUGUGAGUUUUACAGGCGCAUUUCCACUUGCUCUAUAUUUGGUAUUUUCCUCCAAUGAGAAUUAUAAAAUAAAUCAAAGACGUGAAACGAAAAUAUAUAGACAAAGACGAAAUUGAGCAUCUAAAGAAAUCAAUAACUUCAGCUAUUAUAAGUGACUGUUUUAUUUGUUAACUGUUAUAAUUGUUUUUUAACAACAGGAAUUAAUAUAGUUGUAGAAAUUUAUAAUAUGUCAAUAUCAUAAAAAUACAUAUUCCAAAAAUAAAAUAUAUCAUCAAUUAAAAAAAAAAAAAGGUUUAUUGUGGAAAUAUAUAUUCAAGCACAAUUUAUUAUGUUAUGUUAGAUCCUACAAUUCCUACAUAAAAUACUGCAGCCCAUGUGUCUGAGUUUUAAAGAAGAUACAUGCUUUGUUUUGUAAAGAUUGUAUGCUAUAUAACGAAAACAGUCCCAGUUUGAAUUAAAAUUUCGUGCUGAGAAAAAAAACCAAUUUGAAUUUGAGAAAGAUUAAUUCAGAAUGUUAGUCAGUAACAUGGGCAAACACGUGUAUAGACUUUUAGUUAUUAGAGGAGUCAUUUUCUUCAGGAACGACCAAAGUUAUUCAGAAGAAGCUUCACGCAACCAACAAUACAACUGUUAGCAAUCUUUGAUAUUUACUACUUACUCAAUGUCAAUGUAAAGUACUAUAAUGUAUAACAUAUGUACUUACUUCAUAUAAUAAAGAACUUUACUUGUUACAACAAAACAGAUAACUGUUUACUUUUUCAAAACAGGGAAUGACGUAUCAAAGAAAAAGCACUUUCUAAAUUACAAAGUUGUACGAGCCCAUUCGGGUUAAUUUAAGUGCAGUAGGAUACGUCGAAGCAGUACUGGAACCAGUUGGAAUUCUGUACCUGAGGGAGUUAAAUAGACCCCUAUUUCAGCAAGACAUGCACACCCACACACGAUAAAAGUAACAACACAGUAGGUACCUUCAACGAAAUAAUGUUGAAGUUAUCCCCUGGCCUGCUCGUUCACCCGAUUUAUCACCAAUAGAACAUUUGUGGGAUAUCAUGGGUAUCUUGGUACCUUACAGCAAUGCCCCGCAUCGUCUGAAUGAUUUUCGUAUGCGGCUUCAGGAAGCUUGGGACGAGAUCCCACAAGACGCAAUAAGUCACCCCAUCUCGAGCAUGCCUCGCCGAGUUAAUGCGUGCAUAAACAAUCGUGGUGGACCCACAUAUCAUUAAAUAACAUUUUUAUUUCAUAAGUUUCAGCCCUGAUAUUUUAAUCAUUGAUUUUGUUCAUUUUUAAUACACAUUUGGUGAAAAUUUCAGUUACAUUAGUCAACUCCUUCAAGGUGUUCGGAUUUUUAGGAAAGCCAGUACACACCUACUCAGUAUUAUAAAAGACCGAAUUGAUUUUUUUUUUAUUUUAUAUUGUGUUAAAACUUAUAUUCUUUAUUUUUUUAUGUUCCAAUAAACAUGUUAUGAAAAACAAGUAUCUACUUGACCCUUAAUUUUUUUUUAAUUACUUUGACAAUUAUUUUUUAA
Molecule: long non-coding RNA, 2708 nt
Organism: Zophobas morio
Lineage: Eukaryota; Metazoa; Arthropoda; Insecta; Coleoptera; Tenebrionidae
Exons: 4
Source: RefSeq, a predicted model, not a curated record